RNAcentral lists this ribosomal RNA (255 nucleotides) under uncultured bacterium. RNAcentral's name for it is "partial 16S ribosomal RNA". It matches the Rfam family "Bacterial small subunit ribosomal RNA", at positions 15 to 266 of the family's 1533-position model. The record is from RNAcentral.
GUAUCCUGCUCAGGAUGAACGCUAGCUACAGGCUUAACACAUGCAAGUCGAGGGGCAUCAGGGUGUAGCAAUACACCGCUGGCGACCGGCGCACGGGUGAGUAACACGUAUCCAACCUGCCCUUUACUCGGGGAUAGCCUUUCGAAAGAAAGAUUAAUACCCGAUGGCAUAACAUGGCCUCCUGGUUUUGUUAUUAAAGAAUUUCGGUAGAGGAUGGGGAUGCGUUCCAUUAGGCAGUUGGCGGGGUAACGGCCC